UACGUAGGGGGCAAGCGUUGUCCGGAAUCAUUGGGCGUAAAGCGCGUGUAGGCGGCUGGGUAAGUCCGCUCUGAAAGCCCGGAGCUCAACUCCGGAGGGUCGGUGGAUACUGCCAGUCUUGAAGGUGCUAGGGGGAGAUGGAAUUACCGGUGUAGCGGUGAAAUGCGUAGAGAUCGGUAGGAACACCAGUGGCGAAGGCAGCUCUCUGGGACGGUACUGACGCUGAGACGCGAAAGCGUGGGGAGCGAACAGG
This 253-nucleotide ribosomal RNA is filed under the name uncultured bacterium. RNAcentral's name for it is "partial 16S ribosomal RNA". It matches the Rfam family "Bacterial small subunit ribosomal RNA", at positions 524 to 776 of the family's 1533-position model. The record is from RNAcentral.